This 1528-nucleotide ribosomal RNA is filed under the name uncultured Bordetella sp. RNAcentral's name for it is "partial 16S-23S ribosomal RNA intergenic spacer". It matches the Rfam family "Bacterial small subunit ribosomal RNA". The record is from RNAcentral. Lineage: Bacteria; Pseudomonadati; Pseudomonadota; Betaproteobacteria; Burkholderiales; Alcaligenaceae.
UGCAUGCUUCGUUCAGUUACGUGUACUCCUGGGAGCAUCAUUAAUGUCAGGAAGUUCGAUUAUGGCUCCAGAUUGAACGCUGGCGGGAUGCUACAUGCAAGUCGAACGGCAGCACGGACUUCGGUCUGGUGGCGAGUGGCGAACGGGUGAGUAAUGUAUCGGAACGUGCCUGAAGUAGCGAGGGGAUAACUACGCGAAAGCGUAGCUAAUACACGCCACGCCCUUCGAGGAAAGCGGGGGGACCUUCGGGCCUCGCACUAUCGACGGCGGUAUCGGAUUAGCUAGUUGGUGGGGUAACGGCUCACCAAGGCGACGAUCCGUAGCUGGUUUGAGAGGACGACCAGCCACACUGGGACUGAGACAGCGGCCCAGACUCCUACAGGAGGCAGCAGUGGGGAAUUUUGGACAAUGGGGAAACCUGAUCAGCCAUCCCGCGUGUCACGAUGAAGGCCUUCGGGUUGUAAAGCACUUUUGGCAGGAAAGAAACGGCACGGGAUAAUACCCCGUACAACUGACGGUACCUGCAGAAUAAAGCACCGGCGCUACGUGCCAGCAGCCGCGGUAAUACGUAGGGUGCAAGCGUUAAUCAGAGUUACUGGGCGUAAAGCGUGCGCAGGCGGUUCGGAAAGAAAGGUACUUGAAAUCCCAGAGCUUAACUUUUGGAACUGCAUUUUUAACUACCGAGCUAGAGUGUGUCAGAGGUGGAAUUCCGCGUGUAGCAAUUGAAAUGCGUAGAUAUGCGGAGGAACACCGAUGGCGAAGGCGGCCUCCUGGGAUAACACUGACGCUCAUGCACGAAAGCGUGGGAGCAAACAGGAUUAGAUACCCUGGUAGUCCGCCUAAACGAUGUCAACUAGCUGUUGGGACCUUCGGGCCUUGGUAGCGCAGCUAACGCGUGAGAUUGACCGCCUGGGGUAAAUUCGCAAGAUUAAAACUCAAAGGAAUUGACGGGGACCCGCACAAGCAGUGGAUGAUGUGGAUUAAUUCGAUGCAACGCGAAAAACCUUACCUACCCUUGACAUGUCUGGAAUCCCGAAGAGAUUUGGGAGUGCUCGCAAGAGAACCGGAACACAGGUGCUGCAUGUGUCGUCAGCUCUCGUGUCGUGAGAUGUUGGGUUAAGUCCCGCAACGGGCGCAACCCUUGUCAUUAGUUGCUACGAAAGGGCACUCUAAUGAGACUGCCGGUGACAAACCGGAGGAAGGUGAGGAUGACGUCAAGUCCUCAUGGCCCUUAUGGUGAGGCUUCACACGUCAUACAAUGGUCGGGACAGAGGGUCGCCAACCCGCGAGGGGAGCCAAUCCCGACCCGAUCGUAGUCGGAUCACCGAUCUGCAACUCGACUGCAUUGAAGUCGGAAUCGCUGGUAAUCGCGGAUCGGCAUGUCGCGGUGAAUACGUUCCCGGGUCUUGCGUACACACCGCCCGUCACACCAUGGGAGUGGGUUUUACCAGAAGUAGUUAGCCUAACCGUAAGGAGGGCGAUUACCACGGUAGGAUUCAUGACUGGGGUGAAGUCGUAACAAGGCCAA